GCUUAGAUAGCUCAUCUAGAAGAGCCCUUAGUGCGUAAUCAAGCGAUCCGGGUUCGAUUCCCGGCCCGGGCG
RNAcentral lists this transfer RNA (72 nucleotides) under Cotesia glomerata. Its description in RNAcentral is "tRNA-Thr". The record is from RNAcentral. Lineage: Eukaryota; Metazoa; Arthropoda; Insecta; Hymenoptera; Braconidae.